RNAcentral lists this unclassified non-coding RNA (391 nucleotides) under soil metagenome. RNAcentral's name for it is "partial contains 5.8S ribosomal RNA, internal transcribed spacer 2, and large subunit ribosomal RNA". The stretch from base 1 to 120 matches the Rfam family "5.8S ribosomal RNA", at positions 35 to 154 of the family's 154-position model. The record is from RNAcentral.
GAUGAAGAACGCAGCGAAAUGCGAUAAGUAAUGUGAAUUGCAGAAUUCAGUGAAUCAUCGAAUCUUUGAACGCAUCUUGCGCUCCUUGGUAUUCCGAGGAGCAUGCCUGUUUGAGUGUCAUUUAACUUCUCAACCACAUUGGAUAUUUUUUUUCCGAUGCCGGCUUGGAUGUGGGGGUUGUUUGCAGGCUUUUUGUAACAAAAAAGGUCGGCUCCCCUGAAAUGUAUUAGUGGUAUCUGAGGCUAUUACUAUUAGGUGUGAUAAUUAUCUAUGCCUUUUGGGUAUGCCGCAUGAACAGAUUAUGCUGCUUCUAACGAAAACUAUUUUGAUGAAUUUGACCUCAAAUCAGGUAGGACUACCCGCUGAACUUAAGCAUAUCAAUAAGCGGAGG